Molecule: long non-coding RNA, 715 nt
Filed under: Elaeis guineensis (African oil palm)
Lineage: Eukaryota; Viridiplantae; Streptophyta; Magnoliopsida; Arecales; Arecaceae
Description: long non-coding RNA (EGUI_LNC028973)
Source: RNAcentral
CUCUCUCUAUAUUGGUCUCUCUCACUCACUCCACAGUACACGGUCCAUUGCUGUCUUCAAACUUUACUCGAACCACAAGCACAAGGGUGCUCUUUUCUACUCCAUACCUUGUUGUUUUGUUUCUUUUGGAGUCUUUUGGGCCGGGGCCGGGGGUCAUGUGUGGUGUGGUGAUGGUAGUGUAUGGAGAAAUGAAACAUACAGGCAACAGUGAAAGAGAGAGGGAAAAGAGGAACAAAGACAAUGAUGGAAGGAGAGUUAGGGGACAAAGGAGGAAGCCUUUUAUCCCCACCUCUCUCUCUCCNNNNNNNNNNNNNNNNNNNNACAACACUCUUUCUCUCUCAUCACUUGGUGGGAAUGUCAGUCCACACUCGACACCUUCUCCUUCCUACCACUGUUGAGGAAUCAUCGAUCCAAACGAACCCCAUUUCUUGUGGGGUGUGGUCCAUCACCUCAUCACCCCAUACCUCUUUCUUUCCCCACGCUACCAUAUAAGAGAACACCACGCCAUUUAGUAACAUACACAAGAGAUAUAUAUAUUAUAUAUAAUAUGCAUACUAGCUAUAUUUAAUUAAAGAAAAACAACAUGGGGAAAGAUUUAGAAUGGUCUGGUGGGAGGUGAUCUGGUGCAAGAAGUGAGAGGAAUGCGGGGCAGAGAAAGAAAGAGGUAGCAAGGCAGCUCUAAAACAGAGAAAAAAAAAUAAAAGAAAAAGGGAGA